CGCGUAGGUGGUAGUGUAAGUCUGAGGUGGAAUCCUGCGGCUUAACCGCAGAACUGCCUUGGAAACUGCAUUACUUGAGUCAGUGAGGGGAGGGUAGAAUUCCCGGUGUAGCGGUGAAAUGCGUAGAUAUCGGGAGGAAGGCCUGUGGCGAAGGCGGCCCUCUGGCGCUGGACUGACACUGAGGCGCGAAAGCGUGGGUAGCAAACAGGAUUAGAUACCCUGGUAGUCCACGCCCUAAACGGUGGGUACUAGGUGUAGGGCUCGUAAGGGUUCUGUGCCGAAGGGAAACCAUUAAGUACCCCGCCUGGGGAGUACGGCCGCAAGGUUGAA
This 330-nucleotide ribosomal RNA is filed under the name uncultured bacterium. Its description in RNAcentral is "bacterial SSU rRNA". It matches the Rfam family "Bacterial small subunit ribosomal RNA", at positions 568 to 898 of the family's 1533-position model. The record is from RNAcentral.